CUCAGCUCCUUUGUUUCAGUCCUACUACUGCUUGUUUUUCAAAUUGAUUAUUUGCUGCAGGAUUUUUUUCUAAUUUAACAGGCAGCUGGAGCUUAUUAGACAUGAUUUUCUGCUGUAAUAUUUUAUAUCAGUACUUGAUAAUGGCACACCUGUAAACACCCUCUAUAACUAGCAACUUCAGGCACUUGUGGAAUCCACCUGCUACAGCUUAUGUGGCAGGGAUGCUGGGUAACCACAGCAUAGCAGUGGAAAAACAGAGAUUUCUCCAAAUAUCAUUUUUGACAUCCAAGUCACAGCAGAGUAGACCUUGAACCUCUCUGGAGUUCUCUUGGAAAAUGAGAUUUUUAGCAGCUGCAAGUAAAUAUUUAAUCUCUAUUGGGAGGAUGGCAUUUCUGAACUAGAGUUGGCUCUUUACUGACACCCUGAAUCCAGGCUGGGAGGCGAGUCCCUGGAGAUUUGUGAGAUCAGAGGGAAACAGGAGACCCAUCUGCAACCUUCUGAUUAGCGAGUCAUCAGCAGAUUAAUUUGUACAAAGGGAUCACAGUAAUGGGCUGAGGCCAGCUGAGUGCCUAUAUGGUCCUGAAAGCACUAGUGCCACAGAGAUGGGGAAAACCAGAUGAAUUUACUUCAAGGAAGGGCACCUUAAAACAGAAAGAAAAAGAAGGGUGGGAUUGUUGGGUGAGUCAUUCCAGAAUACUUGGUGUUGAUAUCAAAUCAACGGGUUCAGCCUGGCCAUGCAGUUUCCUUUUUUUUUCUGGGCAUGGAUCUCUGUAAGCUGGAGAAGCUGGUGGGAGUAUGGUAUUUGCAACCACUUUAUUUUCUCUGGGCUAAAAAUACUCUGCAAACUUUGGUUUUAUUUUCCAUUCAUAACAGCUGAGCCCUAGGCUAGAGGGAAUGAAUGUGUUAUCCCACUGUGAAAACAUCUAAACAGGUGGAAAGGACAAGGGAGGGUAGAAAGGCAGGGUGGAGACAGUCUGGUUUUAGACAAAAAUCCUGUUUCUUUUCUGAAAACAGAGCAAAGUCUGGGUCAUGUAUGUUACUUUAAAAGCUGAAAUUCAGCUUUAUAAGCUGAAAUUCCAUUCUCAUUUGUUUGCUUGCAUGAAAGAAGCGUGAGUUGGGAGACAUCGGGAAGAAAAUAUCUGGGAAGACACUGUCAGAGAAAAGAGAAAAAUAUGAGAAAUGUGCUGCUGUUGCAGUCAGGCCUAACCAUUCUGCUAAAUAACUUCAUUUUUCAUCUGUAACUUCUGUUAUGCCAGCUGGAGUCUUCCAAACAGCUUUAGUUAAGUGUUUCUAUUCUUAGCUCUUUAUGAAAAUGAUCCCAGUUCUGAGAUAGAUCUGUCAAAGCACCUCAGUGCUUCAGCAACCAUCAAAUAAGUGUAAUUUUUUUUUUUUUUUAAGUAUGGAAAUAUUUUCCAUUGAGAAGCAUGAUCCUGCCUGCUAAGACAUUCUUCUUAGAAAUCCUGUCUGGAUUUCAAGUAAGUCUGCAAAGACAAGGACUAAUGCACUAAUCCAUUCUGGUACUUUAUAUAUUAAUUGAGGCUAUUUAUUUAUUUAUUUAUUUUAGUAAAGAAAAAUAAGACUAAGGUUCCAGAGACUUAUAGUAUACACAAUGUAAUCAAUAAAGUUAUUCAGAGUUCUACACAAAAGUGCUCACACAGAUCAUUAGGGCAGAAACUUUAAUCCACUGAGGUUUAGAAAUGAGGAAUUUCUUAAGUACCACCUGAGAUUUUUUCUCCAAGUCUGUAGGGCUUUGUGGAUUGUAAAUCUUGCUAAAACACUUUUUCAAAUAAAUAUUGAAAAAAAAAAAAAAAAAAAAGAGGAAAGGAAAACCAAGUUGAAAUCUGAUAAAA
Non-coding RNA from Anas platyrhynchos (mallard), 1850 nucleotides. The record is from RefSeq and is a predicted model, not a curated record. NCBI's taxonomy places the organism in Eukaryota, Metazoa, Chordata, Aves, Anseriformes, Anatidae.